GAUGAACGCUGGCGGCGUGCUUAACACAUGCAAGUCGAACGGAAAGGCCCAAGCUUGCUUGGGUACUCGAGUGGCGAACGGGUGAGUAACACGUGGGUGAUCUGCCCUGCACUUCGGGAUAAGCCUGGGAAACUGGGUCUAAUACCGGAUAGGACCACUUCUUGGAUGUUGUGGUGGAAAGUUUUUUCGGUGUGGGAUGAGCUCGCGGCCUAUCAGCUUGUUGGUGGGGUAAUGGCCUACCAAGGCGUCGACGGGUAGCCGGCCUGAGAGGGUGUACGGCCACAUUGGGACUGAGAUACGGCCCAGACUCCUACGGGAGGCAGCAGUGGGGAAUAUUGCACAAUGGGCGCAAGCCGGAUGCAGCGACGCCGCGUGGGGGAUGACGGCCUUCGGGUUGGAAACUCCUUUCGCUAGGGACGAAGCGUUUUGUGACGGUACCUGGAGAAGAAGCACCGGCUAACUACGUG
This 467-nucleotide ribosomal RNA is filed under the name uncultured bacterium. RNAcentral's name for it is "partial 16S ribosomal RNA". It matches the Rfam family "Bacterial small subunit ribosomal RNA", at positions 28 to 507 of the family's 1533-position model. The record is from RNAcentral.